This 497-nucleotide ribosomal RNA is filed under the name uncultured bacterium. RNAcentral describes it as "partial 16S ribosomal RNA". It matches the Rfam family "Bacterial small subunit ribosomal RNA", at positions 28 to 507 of the family's 1533-position model. The record is from RNAcentral.
GAUGAACGCUGGCGGCGUGCCUAAUACAUGCAAGUCGAGCGAACAGACGAGGAGCUUGCUCCUCUGACGUUAGCGGCGGACGGGUGAGUAACACGUGGAUAACCUACCUAUAAGACUGGGAUAACUUCGGGAAACCGGAGCUAAUACCGGAUAAUAUAUUGAACCGCAUGGUUCAAUAGUGAAAGACGGUUUUGCUGUCACUUAUAGAUGGAUCCGCGCCGCAUUAGCUAGUUGGUAAGGUAACGGCUUACCAAGGCAACGAUGCGUAGCCGACCUGAGAGGGUGAUCGGCCACACUGGAACUGAGACACGGUCCAGACUCCUACGGGAGGCAGCAGUAGGGAAUCUUCCGCAAAGGGCGAAAGCCUCACGGAGCAACGCCGCGUGAGUGAUGAAGGUCUUCGGAUCGUAAAACUCUGUUAUUAGGGAAGAACAAAUGUGUAAGUAACUAUGCACGUCUUGACGGUACCUAAUCAGAAAGCCACGGCUAACUACGUG